This 460-nucleotide ribosomal RNA is filed under the name uncultured bacterium. Its description in RNAcentral is "partial 16S ribosomal RNA". It matches the Rfam family "Bacterial small subunit ribosomal RNA", at positions 338 to 795 of the family's 1533-position model. The record is from RNAcentral.
CCUACGGGUGGCAGCAGUGAGGAAUAUUGGUCAAUGGACGAGAGCCUGAACCAGCCAAGUAGCGUGAAGGAUGACUGCCCUAUGGGUUGUAAACCUCUUUUAUAAAGGAAUAAAACGAGGCACGUGUGCCUUUUUGCCUGUACCUUACGAAUAAGGAUCGGCUAACUCCGUGCCAGCAGCCGCGGUAAUACGGAGGAUCCGAGCGUUAUCCGGAUUUAUUGGGUUUAAAGGGAGCGUAGGUGGGUUGUUAAGUCAGUUGUGAAAGUUUGCGGCUCAACCGUAAAAUUGCAUUUGAUACUGGCAGUCUAGAGUAUAGUUGAGGUAGGCGGAAUUCGUGGUGUAGCGGUGAAAUGCUUAGAUAUCACGAAGAACCCCGAUUGCGAAGGCAGCUUACUAAACUGUGACUGACGUUGAUGCUCGAAAGUGUGGGUAGCAAACAGGAUUAGAUACCCCUGUAGUC